AAGAAAGUAAGAAAGGGCGUAUGGCGGAUGCCUAGGCUCACGGAGGCGAUGAAGGACGUGAUAAGCUGCGAUAAGCUUCGGGUAGGUGCAAAUAACCCUUGAUCCGAAGAUUUCCGAAUGGGACAACCUAGCCGUCUGAAGGACGGUUACUCUUACCAAUGUAAGAGAGCUAACGCAGGGAACUGAAACAUCUUAGUACCUGUAGGAAGAGAAAAUAAAUAAUGAUUCCCCCAGUAGUGGCGAGCGAACGGGGAACAGCCCAAACCGUUGACGUCGCAAGGCGUCAGCGGGGUUGUAGGACCGCGACAUUGUAUGCAAAUCGUGAACAGAACACUUUGGAAAAUGUGACCAUAGACGGUGAUAGUCCAGUAUGUGAAGCGAAAUGCAGCAUAGCGGUAUCCUGAGUAACGCGGGACACGAGGAAUCCUGCGCGAAUCUGCCGGGACCAUCCGGUAAGGCUAAAUACUCCCGUGAGACCGAUAGCGAACGAGUACUGUGAAGGAAAGGUGAAAAGAACCCCGAGCAGGGGAGUGAAAUAGUUCCUGAAACCAUACGCCUACAAGCGGUCGGAGCAUCGCAAGAUGUGACGGCGUGCCUUUUGCAUAAUGAUCCUACGAGUUACCGUCACUGGCGAGGUUGAGUGUCACGAGACACGUAGCCGCAGUGAAAGCGAGCCUGAAGAGGGCGCACAGUCAGUGGGGGUAGACGCGAAACCAAGUGAUCUACACUUGGCCAGGAUGAAGUCCCGGUAACACGGGAUGGAGGUCCGCACCAAUAAGCGUUGAAAAGCUUCUGGAUGAGCCGAGUG
RNAcentral lists this ribosomal RNA (808 nucleotides) under Segatella copri. RNAcentral describes it as "partial 23S ribosomal RNA". It matches the Rfam family "Bacterial large subunit ribosomal RNA", at positions 1 to 815 of the family's 2925-position model. The record is from RNAcentral. Lineage: Bacteria; Pseudomonadati; Bacteroidota; Bacteroidia; Bacteroidales; Prevotellaceae.